GGGGGCGGAUAGGUCCUGGUGGGUCUCACAGACUUCAAAUCUGAUGUGGGGUGGUAAUGCCGGCCCAGGUGGGUUCGAUUCCCACACGUUCCUGCCA
Molecule: transfer RNA, 97 nt
Filed under: Clostridiales bacterium
Lineage: Bacteria; Bacillati; Bacillota; Clostridia; Eubacteriales
Also listed under: 1 other name
Description: tRNA-Sec
Rfam family: Selenocysteine transfer RNA
Source: RNAcentral